GAUGAAGAACGUAGCGAAAUGCGAUAAGUAAUGUGAAUUGCAGAAUUCAGUGAAUCAUCGAAUCUUCGAACGCACAUUGCGCCCCUUGGUAUUCCGAGGGGCAUGCCUGUUCGAGCGUCAUUAUAACCCCUCAAGCUCAGCUUGGUGUUGGGGCCUGCCGCACGGGCAGCCCUUAAAAUCAGUGGCGGUGCCAUCUGGCUCUAAGCGUAGUAAUUCUUCUCGCUAUAGAGUCCCGGUGGAUGCUUGCCAUUAACCCCCAAUUUUCUAUGGUUGACCUCGGAUCAGGUAGGGAUACCCGCUGAACUUAAGCAUAUCAAUAAGCGGAGGA
Molecule: unclassified non-coding RNA, 328 nt
Filed under: soil metagenome
Description: partial contains 5.8S ribosomal RNA, internal transcribed spacer 2, and large subunit ribosomal RNA
Rfam family: 5.8S ribosomal RNA (bases 1-120)
Source: RNAcentral